This 153-nucleotide small nuclear RNA is filed under the name Rosellinia necatrix. Lineage: Eukaryota; Fungi; Ascomycota; Sordariomycetes; Xylariales; Xylariaceae. The record is from RNAcentral.
GCCUUCGGGCAUUUGGUCAAUUUGAAACGAUACAGAGAAGAUGUGAGUAAACCACCCCAGUUCGAACCGUCAUGCAAGUACUAACUUCACUGCAGUAGCAUGGCCCCUGCACUAAGGAUGACACAUGUAAUCAAAGAGAAGCAACCAAUUUUU